UUUAUGUUUAAAUAUAAUUAUUUUGUUAUUUUAUAUAAAAAAUGGAUAAAUCUUGGAUAUCUAAACUUCGCAACACAAGAGAAUAUAUGAAUGGUUUUGAAAGAUUUUUAAAUUUUGCUUUUGCAAACAGUAGUGUUGAGGGUAAAAUUAUUUGUCCUCAUCUUAAGUGUAACUUUAGAAAAUGAAAUGUUUGAGAGGAGGUUUGAAACCAUUUAAUUGCUAAACCAUUCCCUUUUAGAUAUACAUGUUAGGGUUUAUAUGGUCAAAAACGUGAAUUUAGAGGAACUACUUCCAGUGGUCUAGUUAACAUAGAAAAUUAGAGAACAAGAAAAUGAGACAAGUGGUCAUAUUCAUGAAUUAGUUUGUGAUGUAUUUGGGGUGCAAUAAGAAAAUAAAACUUCAAUUCUAAUUGAAGAGUUAUCACAAAAUCAAAAUCAAGGGAUGAAUGAAGAGACAAAAGAAUUUUUUGAAUUAAUGCAACAUGGGCAAGAGCAAUUAUAUGAUGGGCAUGAGAAAUAUUUAAAAUUAUCUUUUUUAAUUAGAUUGUACCAUAUUAAAUGUUUUUGUGGUAUAAGCAACAAAGCUUUAUCAAUGAUUUUGGAAUUAUUACUUAUGAAGCAAAAAAGACUAUUACUAAGUUAGGAUUGGAGUACAAAAAAAUUGAUGUUUUCCCAAAUGUUGUAUGUUAUAUUAGGGAGAAGAUGACAAAAGAAAAACCUGCAAAAUAUACAAUACAUCAAGACGGAAAUUGAUAUCUAAAAAAAAGUGAAAAAACUUGUGAAAAUUUUGAGAUACUUUCCAUUAAAGCCAUGAUUGCAAUGACUGUUUAUGUCUUCAAACUGCAAAGCAUAUGAGGUGGCAUGUAUAUAAACAGAAUAUUGAUGGUUUAAUGAGGCAUCCAAGGGAUUCUGAAGCAUGGAAAAUUUUUGACAUGACUUAUCCAAAUUUUGCUUUAGAACCUCAAAACAUAUGAUUGGCAUUAGCAAUUGAUGGUUUCACUUCUUUUAGAAUUUUGAGUAGUGCUUAUAGUAUUUGGCCAGUGGUUCUUAUGCCUUAUAAUCUUCCCCCAUGGAUGUGUAUGAAAUAGGGCUCAUUAAUACUUUCAAUGAUAAUUCCCAAAUGAAAAGCUCCAAGAAAUGACAUUGAUGUGUAUUUGCAGCCCUUAAUUCAAGAACUUUUAGAUUUGUGGAAUGUUGGAGUGGAAACAUAUGAUUCUUACUCCAAUGAAAUGUUUAGGAUGCGUGCAGCACUUAUGUGGACAAUUAGUGAUUUUCCUGGUCUUCGAACAUUGUCUAGAUGGAAUGUUCAUACAAGAUUAGCAUGUUUGACUUGUAAUUUUGAUUGCUUAUCAUUUCGACUAUCAUUUUGAUGCUUUUCGAUUUGAUGGAAAAUCAGAGUUGAGAAUGCCACCUAAGGUUUAGUCAGGGUGAGAAAUUUUGAACCAAGUUGAAAGUGUUAAUGUGAUAUUUGGCAAGGGUAAUGAUGAAAGAUCUAAAAAAAAGGGCUCAAAAUUCAAGUGGUAAGGACUCUCAACAGUGGCAUAAGAGAAGUAUAUUUUUUGUUUUACCUUAUUGGUCAAAUAACAUGCUUUGCCAUUGUCUUGAUGUGAUGCAUAUUGAGAAGAAUGUUUGUGACAAUAUUCUUUUCACAUUAUUGAAUGAGCCUGGAAAAUCAAAAGAUUAUUUACAAGCACAAAAAGAUUUAAAAGAAAUGGGCAUUAGACUAGAUUUGUGGCUAGAUGAUAAUGAAAAAUUUCAUCCGGCCAAGUUUACAUUGAGCAAGUCUAAUAAAGAUGUCUUUUUUAAAGCAUUAAAAAAUAUCACCAUUCCUGAUAGAUAAGAGUAACAUUUCUAGAUGCAUUAAUUUGAGACAAUAGGAGAUUGGGGGGCUAAAAAGUCAUGACUCUCAUGUUUUGAUGCAGCAAUUGCUUCCAUUAGCAAUGAAAAAUACUCUUACAAAAGAAGUAUCAACUGUGCUGACUAUUUGUAUUUUAUUUUUAAAAAAUUGUGUGAAAAGGUUGUGAAUGUGAGUAAUCUUGACGAGCUUCAAAGUCGACUUGGUAUCACUUUAUGUCAUCUAGAAAUUUUUAAUUUGCCUUCUUUCUUCACUAUCAUCAUCCAUUUAAUUGUGCAUCUUGUUGAAGAAGUCAAGCUCAGAGGUCCUAUGCAAUAUUGAUGGAUGUAUCUUAUAGAGAGGUGAGUGAAAAAUAUAUUUUUUGGAUAUCUAGAAAAUAUGUUUCUCUUCACAAUACAAUUGUACAUUUAUAUUAAAGUUAUAAAUUGUUUGGAGGUUACUGGGAAAAUUUAAAUCAUAUGUUUGAAAUAAAGCUUGGCCAAAAAAUUUAAUUGCAGAAGGUUAUGUGGGUGAAGAAAUAUUAUUAUUUUAUUCUAGAUAUUUAGAGGGAGUUGAGACAGUUUUCAAUCGCCCUCAUCGAGUUGGUGAUGAACCUAUUAUCAACUUUCUGCACUUACUAUAUUCUCUCUAGUUAGAAAAUAUGUGGGUGGGUUUGAAUAUUUUACUCUCACUCCCAAAGGGAGAUUAUAAGCACAUCGGCACGUGCUUACAAAUUAUUGAGAAGUGGAUCUGUUUGUUGAGUAAGUAUUUGAUGAUAAUGUUAUUUUUAGUGAGUUUAUUAUUUUGGAAAACAAUAUUAAGUUAUUCUUAAUAUAGGGAAUUUCGAAGAGUUGUAAAAGGACAAUUACGAAAUAGAACUUGAUCAUCUCUUGAAGUUGAUAAGAGAGUUCAUAGAGAAUUUGUUGAUUGGUUUUCUUAUAGAGGAAGAAGAAGAUGAACAGGUGGAGAACAUGAGUUAAUAUGCGUGAUAGUACCUCCUAUCUUGACUACCACCCUAUGCUAGCUUAUGAUGUUAGCCAAUCAUUUAGUAUUUUUGCUAGUGUUUAGCCUAUGUAUAUAUUACUUUUGACUCAAUGUCACCCGUAGAUGAUAGAGUCAUGCUUGAUGCUCUUAAUGACUAUUUAAAUCAAAGCCAAAAAGGGACACCCAUUCAACAAGAGGAGGCAUCAUGCAUCAAGAGGAGCUUAGGGAACAAGAAUCUAUGUAGAGACGAAGGCAUACUCGUCGUGGACAAGAUUCCAAAAGAAGAGGAUUUUGAGUAACGGUUAUAGGGUUAUUUUUUGGUUGAUGAUUUCGAGUACAAAAAGUUUAUUUUAAAAGCAAUGGGAGAAAAGUGGAAAUACUCAAAAUAUGAUUUGUGUAAAAACAAUCAAGAUGGUACUAAAUCAGUAGAAGAAUUGAAGAAUGCUGUGUCAAGUGGUGUCUCUAGAGAAGAUUGGGCAACAUUCAUUGAUCAUCGUUCAAAUCCCAACACCCAAGAAGAAGAAGAUGGACAACAAGUGAACUUUGUAGAGCUUUACAAAGCAACUCAUUUAAACAAAGAGGGCAAUCCUUCCAAUGAAGAAACGGCUGCAGCCAUUGUGAGAUAAUAAUUAUUUGAUUAACAAUUAACAAUUCAAAAUUUUUCUAAUUUUUCUUUUUUUAAUUAGGAAAAGCUCAAAGAAUAUAUGAAAGUCAGUAUUCAUUAGAUUUUAGUGUUGGUAAUGAUAUUUCACUACAAGGUUUAGGCCCAAAUCACUAUGGACGUGUGAGGGGAUUGAGAUUAGCUCCAACAUCGACACAAGUAUUUAGAUGUUCUCGUUCAAGUCAAGGUACAUUAGGCCCUUUUGCAGAAAAUGAAUUUGACCAAAUGAGAGUAAGGAUGUCAUAAGUUGAGGAGUAAAAUAAAAGAUUGCAAGAAGAGUUGGAUCUAGAAAGAGAAAGGAUGGCUAUGGAAAGAGAAAGAGAAGAGAAAGGGAAAGGGAAAGGGAGGAAUGAUUUUUGACCAUGCAAAAGGAAAUGGAAGAAAGAUUCAUGCUGUCGAUGGAAGAAAUGAAAUGGCUAAUGCGACACUUUAAUUCAGUAAUUAUGCUUAACUUGUUUUAUUUAUGCUUUUUUCAUCUUAUAUUUUCUAAUGUUACCUAUUUGCUAUUAUUUGCAAGAUUCAU
Molecule: long non-coding RNA, 4001 nt
Organism: Prosopis cineraria
Lineage: Eukaryota; Viridiplantae; Streptophyta; Magnoliopsida; Fabales; Fabaceae
Exons: 4
Source: RefSeq, a predicted model, not a curated record